This 672-nucleotide ribosomal RNA is filed under the name Chydorus sphaericus complex sp. A3. RNAcentral's name for it is "eukaryotic LSU rRNA". The stretch from base 393 to 672 matches the Rfam family "Eukaryotic large subunit ribosomal RNA", at positions 1 to 259 of the family's 3401-position model. Lineage: Eukaryota; Metazoa; Arthropoda; Branchiopoda; Diplostraca; Chydoridae. The record is from RNAcentral.
ACAGUAACCGAACUGUGUGUGCAGUGUGUGUGUCGGUUCGGGACGAGAGGGUUAGAUGGCGAGUUUUUGAAACGAUGGUCGGGCUUUGGGGCUUUGAAAGGGAUUUCUCGUCUUGGCUGCCGUUUGAUUGUUGGCUCUCGCGCUAUACCGUGUGUGAAGCAUAUAAAAGCCUCUCGAACACUCGUACGCCGGGCGUGUCGUUAACUCGACCACCGCGUAUGCGAGUUAUUAGUAGGGCUGUAGCGCGAGUGGCUGUAUCAGUCAGCUGCAUCGGGGGAGAGAACCUUCACUGGCUCCGUUACGGUAAGGGCUUUUUCGCAAAGGAGCGCUUGUCGAGGACUCGCACCCAGUACACUACGAUCGACUCGUUGACUUUAACAAAAAAUCAUAUCUGACCUCAGUUUAGGUGAGACUACCCGCUGAACUUAAGCAUAUCAGUAAGCGGAGGAAAAGAAACUAACAAGGAUUCCCUUAGUAGCGGCGAGCGAACAGGGAAGAGCUCAGCACCGAACCUCGCGCCCGGCAAAGCGGACGCAGAGGAAUGUGGUGUUUGGGAGAACCGUGCGUGUCUGUCCGGUAUAUUCAUCCAAGUCUCCAUGAACGGGGCGCAACCCACAGAGGGUGUCAGGCCCGGUUAGACCAGAUGAGCCGAGACCGUAUCGGGUUCCUUCC